CCACACAGUCCUUCAUUUCCAUUUCUCCGAUCAUUUCAAAACCCUAGUUCAAGAAAGCAAUCGAUAAUAUUAAUACGAUUUCUUUAGAUGAGCAGUUACUGUUUAGGUUCUGGUUCUACUUUGAAUUGAUUUACUGUUAAUUUAGGGUUUUAGUAGGGAUUGAUUGUUUUCUUUGGAUUUAAUUUAAUGAUUUCAUGUUGUCAAACCUACUUUUUGGAGUCUAGUUCUAGUUUCAUGUUACCAAAG
Arabidopsis thaliana (thale cress) is the source of this 246-nucleotide long non-coding RNA. RefSeq annotates it as other RNA. Lineage: Eukaryota; Viridiplantae; Streptophyta; Magnoliopsida; Brassicales; Brassicaceae. The record is from RefSeq. The transcript has a single exon.